GGCGGCGUAGCUCAGCUGGCAGAGCACACGGCUCAUAUCCGUUAGGUCAUUGGUUCAAUCCCAAUCGCCGCUA
RNAcentral lists this transfer RNA (73 nucleotides) under Spirochaetaceae bacterium. RNAcentral describes it as "tRNA-Met". It matches the Rfam family "tRNA". Rfam says of the family: Transfer RNA (tRNA) molecules are approximately 80 nucleotides in length. Their secondary structure includes four short double-helical elements and three loops (D, anti-codon, and T loops). The record is from RNAcentral. Lineage: Bacteria; Pseudomonadati; Spirochaetota; Spirochaetia; Spirochaetales; Spirochaetaceae.